RNAcentral lists this ribosomal RNA (274 nucleotides) under uncultured bacterium. RNAcentral describes it as "partial 16S ribosomal RNA". It matches the Rfam family "Bacterial small subunit ribosomal RNA", at positions 523 to 796 of the family's 1533-position model. The record is from RNAcentral.
CUACGGAGGGUCCAAGCGUUAUCCGGAAUCAUUGGGUUUAAAGGGACCGCAGGCGGUCAAUUAAGUCAGAGGUGAAAGCCCAUCGCUCAACGAUGGAACUGCCUUUGAUACUGGUUGACUUGAGUUAUACGGAAGUAGAUAGAAUAAGUAGUGUAGCGGUGAAAUGCAUAGAUAUUACUUAGAAUACCGAUUGCGAAGGCAGUCUACUACGUAUAUACUGACGCUGAGGGACGAAAGCGUGGGGAGCGAACAGGAUUAGAAACCCCUGUAGUCC